Tribolium castaneum (red flour beetle) is the source of this 901-nucleotide long non-coding RNA. RefSeq lists it as uncharacterized. NCBI's taxonomy places the organism in Eukaryota, Metazoa, Arthropoda, Insecta, Coleoptera, Tenebrionidae. The record is from RefSeq and is a predicted model, not a curated record. The transcript is spliced from 3 exons.
CCUGUUUGAAUUUUCCGCUAUUAUCGAAUUAGUUUGUUCUCCCCAGGUUAGGUGGCGCUUUCGCGAAAAAACGAGGGGUAGACAGAGAGAUUCGCUUCUUCCUCUCUCUUAUUCUAUGGUUUUAACAUUAAAAAGAGAAGUGCCUGAAAAGUGCGUGCGCGCGACGGUGCGACGGUUUCACCUUGUUCAUUAGCAAAGUGGCUUUACAGAGACCUUUAAAUUUACAGAUUUCUUUACGCCUGACGCGACCUCGAGCGCGUAGCAAUUGAACUAUUUUAGCCUUUCCCCCCUUUGCCCCACCCCUGCCAGUAAACCCAUAAUUUGUAUAGAGCUUCAGGGGCCUGAUCGAGACUAAAUUAUAAUCUAUGAAAUCAGCUAACCUAUGCAACUAACUAACUAGAUGAUCGAGAGGUUAUAGAAUUUGUGCUCUUGAGAACAUAUGCACUAGAACAUAAAGGGUCAAAAGGGCGUUUAAACCGUACCAAGGCGCCCUACAAGUUGGUACGACAACACAAUAGGCACGUGAGCACUAAAAUUACCCGGAGUAAAAUGCUCAAACUUCUCCGAGGAGACGGUUUGAAAUACUCCGGGGCUACUCACUCCUUAUAGACCCUUCACAGCCAGACAACACAACUAACUCGGCAAAAGAGAGGGAACGAACGUGGUCCGACUCCCUCCAAAGUUGGGGCUAACAAAAGGAAAACCGAAAUUAGAAACCACAUUUCGGAAACAGUUGAACGAAGGUGUUACGUCAACGAUGUCUAAGUGCCCAAGCAUCUACGGGACUCCGAAGCGCCUCCCGUACCAGCGAAACUAUGUUGAAUUGAUUGUAAUUGAUUAUACGAUGUAUUAGUGACCAUUUCCAAGAAUUUAACAAAAUAAAACCGUUACAAUACCCUCA